ACUCCUACGGGAGGCAGCAGUGGGGAAUUUUGGACAAUGGGCGAAAGCCUGAUCCAGCCAUGCCGCGUGCAGGAUGAAGGCCUUCGGGUUGUAAACUGCUUUUGUACGGAACGAAAAGGCUCCUUCUAAUAAAGGGGGUCCAUGACGGUACCGUAAGAAUAAGCACCGGCUAACUACGUGCCAGCAGCCGCGGUAAUACGGAGGGUGCAAGCGU
RNAcentral lists this ribosomal RNA (214 nucleotides) under uncultured organism. RNAcentral's name for it is "partial 16S ribosomal RNA". It matches the Rfam family "Bacterial small subunit ribosomal RNA", at positions 335 to 541 of the family's 1533-position model. The record is from RNAcentral.